This 253-nucleotide ribosomal RNA is filed under the name uncultured bacterium. RNAcentral describes it as "partial 16S ribosomal RNA". It matches the Rfam family "Bacterial small subunit ribosomal RNA", at positions 524 to 776 of the family's 1533-position model. The record is from RNAcentral.
UACGUAUGGUGCAAGCGUUAUCCGGAUUUACUGGGCGUAAAGGGAGCGCAGGCGGUGCGCCAAGUCUGAUGUGAAACCCCGGGGCUCAACCCCGGGCAUGCAUUGGAAACUGGCGGGCUGGAGUGCCGGAGAGGUAAGCGGAAUUCCUAGUGUAGCGGUGAAAUGCGUAGAUAUUAGGAGGAACACCAGUGGCGAAGGCGGCUUACUGGACAGUAACUGACGUUGAGGCUCGAAAGCGUGGGGAGCAAACAGG